Molecule: long non-coding RNA, 253 nt
Filed under: Lathyrus oleraceus (garden pea)
Lineage: Eukaryota; Viridiplantae; Streptophyta; Magnoliopsida; Fabales; Fabaceae
Description: Pisum sativum (pea) long non-coding RNA (PSAT_LNC015054)
Source: RNAcentral
GAGAACUCAUCAGAAGAACAAACUCUUCCGAUGGAUUUUUUCAUCACUAACUAUCAGUUUUACUCUAAUCUUUAUAAGACGGGAAGCCGAUUUCUUUGGUGAAUUAGUUGGAUACAUGUUUUUUGUUUUUUUUUUUCUGGCGUGUUUGUAUCCGACAUAUAUCCCAUGAAUGAGUAAACUUUGUGGUUUAUGCCUUGCAAUGUGUAUUUCUCCAAUGAAUGAGUAAACUUUGUGGUUUGUGCCUUGCAAUGUG